UAUGUAGGAUCCGAGCAUUAUCCGGAGUGACUGGGUGUAAAGAGUUGCGUAGGUGGCAUAGUAAGUAGGUAGUGAAAUCUGGUGGCUCAACCAUUCAGGCUAUUACCUAAACUGCUAGGCUCGAGACCGUUAGGGGUAACUGGAAUUUCUAGUGUAGGAGUGAAAUCCGUAGAUAUUAGAAAGAACACCGAUAGCGUAGGCAGGUUACCGGGACGGUUCUGACACUAAGGCACGAAAGCGUAGGGAGCAA
RNAcentral lists this ribosomal RNA (250 nucleotides) under uncultured prokaryote. RNAcentral's name for it is "partial 16S ribosomal RNA". It matches the Rfam family "Bacterial small subunit ribosomal RNA", at positions 524 to 771 of the family's 1533-position model. The record is from RNAcentral.